AUUGAACGCUGGCGGCAUGCCUUACACAUGCAAGUCGAACGGUAACAGGUCUUCGGAUGCUGACGAGUGGCGAACGGGUGAGUAAUACAUCGGAACGUGCCUAGUAGUGGGGGAUAACUACUCGAAAGAGUGGCUAAUACCGCAUGAGAUCUACGGAUGAAAGCAGGGGAACGCAAGACCUCGUGCUACUAGAGCGGCCGAUGGCAGAUUAGGUAGUUGGUGGGAUAAAAGCUUACCAAGCCGACGAUCUGGAGCUGGUCUGAGAGGACGAUCAGCCACACUGGGACUGAGACACGGCCCAGACUCCUACGGGAGGCAGCAGUGGGGAAUUUUGGACAAUGGGCGUAAGCCUGAUCCAGCAAUGCCGCGUGCAGGAUGAAGGCCUUCGGGUUGUAAACUGCUUUUGUACGGAACGAAAAGCCCCGGGUUAAUACCCUGGGGUCAUGACGGUACCGUAAGAAUAAGCACCGGCUAACUACGUGCCAGCCGCCGCCGUAA
Molecule: ribosomal RNA, 498 nt
Filed under: uncultured bacterium
Lineage: Bacteria
Description: partial 16S ribosomal RNA
Rfam family: Bacterial small subunit ribosomal RNA
Source: RNAcentral